Molecule: unclassified non-coding RNA, 316 nt
Filed under: plant metagenome
Description: partial contains 5.8S ribosomal RNA, internal transcribed spacer 2, and large subunit ribosomal RNA
Rfam family: 5.8S ribosomal RNA (bases 1-105)
Source: RNAcentral
GAAAUGCGAUAACUAAUGUGAAUUGCAGAAUUCAGUGAAUCAUCGAGUCUUUGAACGCACAUUGCGCCCCCUGGUAUUCCGGGGGGCAUGCCUGUCCGAGCGUCAUUGCUGCCCUCAAGCCCGGCUUGUGUGUUGGGUCGCCGUCCCCCUCUCCGGGGGGACGGGCCCGAAAGGCAGCGGCGGCACCGCGUCCGAUCCUCGAGCGUAUGGGGCUUUGUCACAUGCUCUGUAGGAUUGGCCGGCGCCUGCCGACGUUUUCCAACCAUUCUUUCCAGGUUGACCUCGGAGCAGGUAGGGAUACCGGCUGAACUUAAGC